This 1076-nucleotide ribosomal RNA is filed under the name marine metagenome. RNAcentral's name for it is "bacterial SSU rRNA". It matches the Rfam family "Bacterial small subunit ribosomal RNA", at positions 8 to 1128 of the family's 1533-position model. The record is from RNAcentral.
AGAGUUUGAUCAUGGCUCAGAACGUACGCUGGCGGCACGCCUAACACAUGCAAGUCGAACGAAGUAGCAAUACUUAGUGGCAGACGGGUGAGUAACAUGUAGGUAUCUGCCCUUUGGCCUGGAAUAACACGAGGAAACUUGUGCUAAUACUGGAUAAGUCUUUACGGAGAAAGCUUUAUGCACCAUUGGAUGAGCCUGCACUUGAUUAGUUUGUUGGUGGGGUAAUGGCCUACCAAGACUGUGAUCAAUAGCUGAUUUGAGAGGAUGAUCAGCCACAUUGGGACUGAGACACGGCCCAAACUCCUACGGGAGGCAGCAGUGGGGAAUCUUGCACAAUGGAGGAAACUCUGAUGCAGCGAUGCCGCGUGAGUGAAGAACGCCUUUGGGUUGUAAAGCUCUUUCGUCGGGGAAGAAAAUGACUGUACCCGAAUAAGAAGGUCCGGCUAACUUCGUGCCAGCAGCCGCGGUAAUACGAAGGGACCUAGCGUAGUUCGGAAUUACUGGGCUUAAAGAGUUCGUAGGUGGUUGAAAAAGUUGGUGGUGAAAUCCCAGAGCUUAACUCUGGAACUGCCAUCAAAACUUUUCAGCUAGAGUAUGAUAGAGGAAAGCAGAAUUUCUAGUGUAGAGGUGAAAUUCGUAGAUAUUAGAAAGAAUACCAAUUGCGAAGGCAGCUUUCUGGAUCAUUACUGACGCUGAGGAACGAAAGCAUGGGUAGCGAAGAGGAUUAGAUACCCUCGUAGUCCAUGCCGUAAACGAUGUGUGUUAGACGUUGGAAAUUUAUUUUCAGUGUCGCAGCGAAAGCGAUAAACACACCGCCUGGGGAGUACGACCGCAAGGUUAAAACUCAAAUGAAUUGACGGGGACCCGCACAAGUAGUGGAGCAUGUGGUUUAAUUCGAAGAUACGCGCAGAACCUUACCAACACUUGACAUGUUCGUCGCGACUUUAAGAGAUUAGAGUUUUCGGUUCGGCCGGACGAAACACAGGUGCUGCAUGGCUGUCGUCAGCUCGUGUCGUGAGAUGUUGGGUUAAGUCCCGCAACGAGCGCAACCCUCACUUUUAGUUGCCAUCAUUAAG